This is a long non-coding RNA of Pogonomyrmex barbatus (red harvester ant), 663 nucleotides long. The record is from RefSeq and is a predicted model, not a curated record. Lineage: Eukaryota; Metazoa; Arthropoda; Insecta; Hymenoptera; Formicidae.
GUGUGUGUGUGUGUGUGUGUGUGUGUUGUGACUAUAUGUAGUACUCUCUCUGGCGCCAAUAUGCGAAGAACACCGAAGAAAGGGAGUAUCGAUACGCGAUGGUUUUAGAAAUUUAAUUAAUUGACCGAUCGUUUUAAUCAGUCUCUUGGUAUGAAUCUCUGAGUAUUCUCUCCAAAACAAAUCAAUACACAUUGUGAUAUGUAGACUAUCGAAUAUUCUUUAUUUUUUGUGAAUAUACACUUUUAAAAUUAUGGGUCCUGUUUUUGAAUACUGAAUAUGUUUCUAUACUGAGAUUGCACUUAUCUUGUGAUAACUGCACCAUAUACGGAGUGUCAAUAACUAUAUACGGAUGCAACGUUCAUGAUUUCUUCAAGGGUUGAGAAUAGUGUCGUGUGUAUAGAGAAGAGAAGAAAAGCGAACGUGAAGAGGAUGGCAAAACGACGACGAUGGGGUACGCGUCGGGAAUGCGUAAUGCAACCGACGACUGUGCAAAAAUUCGCGAUUCCUAAGAACAACUUAGAAUUCUCUCCAUUUCUACCAUAUACGUACAUCCGAAGGUGCAAUGAACAAACUUCGGAUGUGACCUCGACGAAGUCUCCUUACUAUCCAUCAUUUGUAUCUCAGUUGUAUCAAAGUGCAAUAAAGCAAAAAUACUAAGUGUUA